AGAGAAAAAAAAAGGGGGGGAGGGAGUCAUCUUUUCACAACUUGUGUCUUCAUCUACUGACCUUAACAUUAGCAACAGAAAAGCAGGGGCAUGCAUGCGCUCAUUCACUUGCCUGCAGGUCGGAGAAGGCAAAGGAAACGAGACUCCCAGGGACACUGCACCUCCGUACGGCUCCACGCGCAGAGAUAACGCUUUAAAGGAGAAGAGAAAAACAAGCUGACGAAACCUACCCACAACUCUACCACGUCUCUGCCUGGAGACCCGCAGCCCUGUGGUGCUGUUCAACAGCCCAGCACAGAACCAGACACCAAAAGUUUCUCAGCACAGCACAUUAUUUCCCAGCUCCGCCACUGCCUCACUGCGUGACCUUGGGCAAGCCGCUUCCCCCGCAUCUCGGCUACCCACCUGACGAGCCCGCUGCAGAGCUCCGAGGACGAAAAACCCCGUAAUUACUCACAACAGGCGACUCUGCGCCGAAGAAGCUGAAAUGGGCGGAGGGGAGGGACUCUCUCUCUCACAGGGUUCUCCACAUGGGAUGUGAGGAGGCUGGUCGUGGUAUUGCGUGGAGCAUUGUGCCUCAAGCCACUUGAACGGGCAUAAAGCAGCGCUAAGAUCUUUCUCUGUGUGUUUGGACUUCAUGGACGUCUCCUGUGGUGAAGCUGUUCCAGAAGAAUCGAGAGUCUCCCUAUUAAAGUCCUAGCUUUUCACGAAAAAGGUACUGAAGAUACACAUACGGAGACACUCUUCACUUUACUGCUUUGCGUACUAUCAGCAUAUAUAGAGGUCAAACAGAGGAUGGUAGAAAAUGGAACAAUCCACAGGCAAACAGCUGGAUGCUGAAACAUUGAGAAAAGAACUGUUUUUUUUCAGUCGUGCAAGAAGUUUUGGCAGAGUCCAAAAGCAUAUGCAGAGUGCCAUCAGAUGCUCAGACGCACCCCACAAUGGUCAGCUGGGAAAGAAUUCCAUAAUUCUUGAUCAACACUCAAACAAUUUAAGAAGAUUUUGGAAAAUCUGA
Molecule: long non-coding RNA, 1015 nt
Filed under: Dromaius novaehollandiae (emu)
Lineage: Eukaryota; Metazoa; Chordata; Aves; Casuariiformes; Dromaiidae
Description: lncRNA (ENSDNVG00000011005.1)
Source: RNAcentral